GGCCGGAUGGCCUAAUCGGUUAAGGCGUCGCCCUGGACAGGCGAAGGUUGCGGGUUCAAUCCCUGUUCCUGGCCC
This 75-nucleotide transfer RNA is filed under the name Ixodes scapularis (black-legged tick). RNAcentral's name for it is "tRNA-Ser for anticodon GGA". It matches the Rfam family "tRNA". Rfam says of the family: Transfer RNA (tRNA) molecules are approximately 80 nucleotides in length. Their secondary structure includes four short double-helical elements and three loops (D, anti-codon, and T loops). Lineage: Eukaryota; Metazoa; Arthropoda; Arachnida; Ixodida; Ixodidae. The record is from RNAcentral.